Schistosoma margrebowiei is the source of this 45-nucleotide non-coding RNA. The record is from Rfam. Lineage: Eukaryota; Metazoa; Platyhelminthes; Trematoda; Strigeidida; Schistosomatidae.
AUCCAACUGAUGACUUCCAAAUAGGACGAAACGCUCUUCCUGGAU